RNAcentral lists this transfer RNA (74 nucleotides) under Candidatus Woesearchaeota archaeon. Its description in RNAcentral is "tRNA-Trp". It matches the Rfam family "tRNA". From Rfam's summary of the family: Transfer RNA (tRNA) molecules are approximately 80 nucleotides in length. The record is from RNAcentral. Lineage: Archaea; Nanobdellati; Candidatus Woesearchaeota.
GGGGAUAUAGUAUAACCUGGCUAGAACAUCGGGCUCCAGACCUGAGGAUCUGGGUUCGAAUCCCAGUAUCCCCA